This 478-nucleotide ribosomal RNA is filed under the name uncultured bacterium. Its description in RNAcentral is "partial 16S ribosomal RNA". It matches the Rfam family "Bacterial small subunit ribosomal RNA", at positions 28 to 523 of the family's 1533-position model. The record is from RNAcentral.
GACGAACGCUGGCGGCGUGCUUAACUCAUGCAAGUCGAACGGUAAGGCCCUUCGGGGUACACGAGUGGCGAACGGGUGAGUAACACGUGGGUGAUCUGCCCUGCACUUCGGGAUAAGCCUGGGAAACUGGGUCUAAUACCGGAUAGGACCACUGCCUGCAUGGGUGGUGGUGGCAAGCUUUUGCGGUGUGGGAUGGGCCCGCGGCCUAUCAGCUCGUUGGUGGGGUGAUGGCCUACCAAGGCGACGACGGGUAGCCGGCCUGAGAGGGGGAGCGGCCAGACUGGGACUGAGAUACGGCCCAGGCUCCUGCGGGAGGCAGCAGUGGGGAAUAUUGCACAAUGGGUGCAAGCCUGAUGCAGCGACGCCGCGGGAGGGAUGACGGCCUUCGGGUUGUAAACCUCUUUCAGCACCGACGAAGCGCAAGUGACGGUAGGUGCAGAAGAAGGACCGGCCAACUACGUGCCAGCAGCCGCCGUAA